This 772-nucleotide ribosomal RNA is filed under the name marine metagenome. Its description in RNAcentral is "bacterial SSU rRNA". It matches the Rfam family "Bacterial small subunit ribosomal RNA", at positions 653 to 1411 of the family's 1533-position model. The record is from RNAcentral.
AUAGGACAAUGGAAUUUUACAAGGAGGGGUGAAAUCCGUAGAACUGUAAAGGAACGCCAAAAGCGAAGGCAAUUGUCUGGGCCGUUACUGACGCUGAGGAACGAAAGCGUGGGUAUCCAACAGGAUUAGAUACCCUGGUAGUCCACGCCGUAAAUUAUGAGUGCUCAUGCUUAGAUUUUUUAGGCAUUUAGUUAACACGUUAAGCACUCCGCCUGAAGAGUAUAAUCGCAAGAUUGAAACUCAAAGGAAUUGACGGGGGCCAACACAAGUGGUGGAGCAUGUUGUUUAAUGCGAAAAUACGCGCGAAACCUUACCAGUUCUUGACAGUGUGUUAAGUGACGAAAAAAUAGCUUUUUUUGUCCUCUUUAUAGUAAGAAUUUUCACACACAGGUGUUGCAUGGCUGUCGUCAGCUCGUGUUGUGAAAUGUUAGAUUAAUUUCUUAAACGAGCGCAACCCCUACUUUUAGUUGCCAUUGUUUGUCAUUUCAAACAGGAACUCUAAAAGGACUGCUAGUGGAUAAGCUAGAGGAAGGUGGGGAUAACGUCAAGUCCUCAUGGCCCUUAUGAACUGGGCUACAAACGUGCUACAAUGAAAACUACAAAAAGAAGCAAUAGUGUUUAAGCUGGAGCAAAUCUCUAAAAGUUUUCUUAGUUCGGAUUGUGGGCUGAAACUCGCCCACAUGAAGUUGGAAUCACUAGUAAUCGUAGAUCAGCACGCUACGGUGAAUAUGUACCUUGGCCUUGUACACACCGCCCGUCACAUGUUGGGAGU